UGAAAUUGUAUUUAAUUAAAUAAACCAACACAUAAUUAAAAAAAUUUAAUUUAAAAUUAAAUUUUGAAUCCAAAAUCUCAAAAUUUAAAGAUUUUUUUUUUUGUUAUUAAGACAAUCUAGCUAACACACUAAAAUUUUGAAUUAUAUAAUUAAAAAUUAAAAUUUCAUUGUAUUAAUCUCCUACUUUUUAUUCUUAAAAAAAUAAAUUGAAUUCUAGACUUCCAUUUAAAUAGAAAUCUCAAAUUUUAAUGGUUAAUGUGUUCCCUAAAAGACCUAUGUAGUUGGGUAAUUUCUUUACAAUGACUCGGGUAUCUUGAAUUAUUGUUAUCCAAAACUUUGAAAGUCUUUGAGUGAACAUUGUCAACAUCUUCUCUUGAUUUGCUUGCAAUUUUAUGAUCAACUUUUUUUAUAUAAAAAAAUAUAACUAUGUCAAUCGGACAAGUUGGAUCUAAUUUAGUUUCAAUCAAUGAACUAAUAAUAUUCCAAUUUAAUCUUUAAUUAUUAAGGGUCAAUUCAACUCCAAAAAAGCAAAAAUAUCAUUUCAAUGUGAAACAAAAAGUUAUAUCUAAAAUUCGAUUUUAUUUCAACGAAUUACUCAUAUUUCUUAAGAAAUUAAUUCUUAAAAGAAUUUGAUUGUUAUGAAACUAUGUCGGACUCUCGUAUUAAUCCUGUCUAGGUAUAUUGGAUCAUUGAUUUUGUAAUAAAAUUCACGAGCUUUUUGAUGCGAAAAAUUCAUUGCGGAGCAUAUGACUCUUGCUAUUUUUAAAAAAGUUAAUGAAAAUAAAGAGUAUAUUAUUGUGGAUCAUUGAAAGUGAAACAAACAUUGCAAAGAUAUAGACGUACCAAACUCCAUUGAAGAAGUAGUAACGAUCAUGUUCAUGAUAUAAAGGUUGAAGACUCCCCCACUCAAAAAUCUCAAAGGUUUGAAAUGAAAGGGCGGUGGUGGUUCUUAAUGAAACUACUACAAGAAACAAACAAUUAAUAAUAAUACUUACUAACAAAGACAAGUGGUGGAACAAAGAUCCAAUAGCAUGUUUUGUUUAAUCU
RNAcentral lists this long non-coding RNA (1047 nucleotides) under Durio zibethinus. RNAcentral's name for it is "long non-coding RNA (DZIB_LNC000479)". The record is from RNAcentral. Lineage: Eukaryota; Viridiplantae; Streptophyta; Magnoliopsida; Malvales; Malvaceae.